RNAcentral lists this ribosomal RNA (468 nucleotides) under uncultured bacterium. RNAcentral's name for it is "partial 16S ribosomal RNA". It matches the Rfam family "Bacterial small subunit ribosomal RNA", at positions 28 to 507 of the family's 1533-position model. The record is from RNAcentral.
GACGAACGCUGGCGGCGUGCUUAACACAUGCAAGUCGAACGGAAAGGCCCUGCUUUUGUGGGGUGCUCGAGUGGCGAACGGGUGAGUAACACGUGAGUAACCUGCCCUUGACUUUGGGAUAACUUCAGGAAACUGGGGCUAAUACCGGAUAGGAGCUCCUGCUGCAUGGUGGGGGUUGGAAAGUUUCGGCGGUUGGGGAUGGACUCGCGGCUUAUCAGCUUGUUGGUGGGGUAGUGGCUUACCAAGGUUUUGACGGGUAGCCGGCCUGAGAGGGUGACCGGCCUCAUUGGAACUGAGGUACGGACCAGAAUCCUACGGGAGGCAGCAGUGGGGAAUAUUGCACAAUGGGCGGAAGCCUGAUGCAGCAACGCCGCGUGCGGGAUGACGGCCUUCGGGUUGUAAACCGAUUUCGCCUGUGACGAAGAGUGAGUGACGGUAAUGGGUAAAGAAGCACCGGCUAACUACGUG